This 422-nucleotide ribosomal RNA is filed under the name uncultured bacterium. Its description in RNAcentral is "bacterial SSU rRNA". It matches the Rfam family "Bacterial small subunit ribosomal RNA", at positions 355 to 774 of the family's 1533-position model. The record is from RNAcentral.
UAAGGAAUAUUGGCCAAUGGACGCAAGUCUGAACCAGCCAUGCCGCGUGGAGGAUGAAGGUCCUCUGGAUUGUAAACUUCUUUUAUCUGGGACGAAACACUUCUUUUCUAAGAGGCCUGACGGUACCAGAUGAAUAAGCACCGGCUAACUCCGUGCCAGCAGCCGCGGUAAUACGGAGGGUGCAAGCGUUAUCCGGAUUCACUGGGUUUAAAGGGUGCGUAGGUGGGUAUGUAAGUCAGUGGUGAAAUCCCCGAGCUUAACUUGGGAACUGCCGUUGAUACUAUAUAUCUUGAAUAACGUAGAGGUAAGCGGAAUAUGUCGUGUAGCUGUGAAAUGCUUAGAUAUGACAUGGAACACCAAUUGCGAAGGCAGCUUACUAUGCGGUGAUUGACACUGAGGCACGAAAGCGUGGGUAGCAAACA